CCAGACUCCUACGGGAGGCAGCAGUGGGGAAUAUUGGGCAAUGGACGCAAGUCUGACCCAGCAACGCCGCGUGAAGGAAGAAGGCUUUCGGGUUGUAAACUUCUUUUAAGGGGGAAGAGCAGAAGACGGUACCCCUUGAAUAAGCCACGGCUAACUACGUGCCAACAGCCGCGGUAAUACGUAGGUGGCAAGCGUUAUCCGGAUUUACUGGGUGUAAAGGGCGUGUAGGCGGGAGAGCAAGUCAGACGUGAAAUUCCAGGGCUCAACCCUGGAACUGCGUUUGAAACUGUUCUUCUUGAGUGAUGGAGAGGCAGGCGGAAUUCCGUGUGUAGCGGUGAAAUGCGUAGAUAUACGGAGGAACACCAGUGGCGAAGGCGGCCUGCUGGACAUUAACUGACGCUGAGGCGCGAAAGCGUGGGGAGCAAACAGGAUUAGAUACCCGUGUA
This 446-nucleotide ribosomal RNA is filed under the name uncultured bacterium. RNAcentral's name for it is "bacterial SSU rRNA". It matches the Rfam family "Bacterial small subunit ribosomal RNA", at positions 331 to 792 of the family's 1533-position model. The record is from RNAcentral.